UCCAGCACUAAGUCAGCUGUCCAGAUGUGUUGUAUCUGGGUCAGUGUUACAGUGCUGGGAGAGAAAGGUUCUGUAUCUGGGCUUGGUGCAGCAGGUUCUGUUUUAGAGUCUGCUUACACUGAGCUGCUGCAGAGCCAGGCCCAACGAGAGUGGACUGUCCUGGUAUGUUUGGGCAGGCCUAGUCAUAGGUCAUACAGU
This is a small nucleolar RNA of Lampris incognitus (smalleye Pacific opah), 198 nucleotides long. RefSeq annotates it as small nucleolar RNA SNORA74. NCBI's taxonomy places the organism in Eukaryota, Metazoa, Chordata, Actinopteri, Lampriformes, Lampridae. The transcript has a single exon. The record is from RefSeq and is a predicted model, not a curated record.